CUUUCAAACUGAAAGAAUUUAUAAUCUAAUUUAUUAAUAUUCUCUGGAAAAGACAAAGAUACAACAGUAUGCCUGUUUAGAAAGUAUUUCAUAACUCACUCAGGGGAAAAACCUUACCUCAUUUCGGGAAAAAAUUGGGAUUUUGCCCUGUCCUUAUGUGCUAUUUUCCGUAGUAUUUUUCCAGUAGUACUUCUCCAAAUCAAGCUAGGGACAGUUCAGCUUCAAGUUUUAUUGACAUUUUUUGUGGGCAUGAAAUGCUUUUUUUAAUACCUUACUUUAACUCAUUUUGUGUAUUUCUAUGGGAUUCCUAUUUCUUUUCUGAAGAAAGGAGAAAAAGUCAUUAACUUAGAGAAGUUCAGACUUUUCAGAAGGUCAUGAAUCUGACAAGCCAGAAGCAAUGGAUCCUUCUCCAUCUGCCUUUUAUUUCCAGCACAUUUAUACAACCUUCAAGUCUUUGUUUUUCAAAUCUCAGGGAGAGCUACCCAUCCUGGAGUCAAUUGAUGGUUAUCAGGAAGGUGUUUUCAGCUAUUUUCAAAAUACCUUGCAUCUAUGGAACGUGUGUAUAUUUUUGGGUAAUGGCUACUGGACAUCUCCUUGCUUCCUGGUUAUGCCAGGAGUGCCUUUUUCCCUUCAGUACGAUUCCUUCAAACAUUUUGAUGCUUAGGAAGCUAAAUGAGAGAUGGAUUCCUGGGUCAAAGGCAUAUGAGCGUGUUUCCUCACUGGAGAAGCUGUUCAGGAAGGGCUGCAGGGUUCCAGGAUCACCCUCCCUCUUCAUCCAGGCCAACUCAUCUCACGAAGUAGACUUGUCUCUCAACUAAACUUAGUAGCUAUGAGACUUCUGUAAUGAAUUACUGGCAUAUCAUUGCCAUUCUUUCCAGGAUGAAUCACAGAGGCAAAUUGGAAUCUUUUGCCUUUUAAUUAUACGUACUUCCAAUUAUUUACGAAGUCCUAUUUUAUCUCAUAUUUUUCUCAUCAUUAAUUUUUUUUGAUGUACUGAUGCCCUAGGUCAGGUUCUCAUAAUCUCAAGCCGAGUGUCUUCAGUGAGUUCUACUUAUUUCUUAUCCAGUUUGUUCUGCAGAUUUCUCUCAACCCAGACUCUUCACCAGAUUCAUGUCUCUUGGCAGCAUACCCUACCCUGGGCCCAAACAUUAAACUCACUACUCAAUCUCUAUUAUUGUUAUUACAUGGGACUAUAGAAAAAAUUGCCAAAGUUUUCACAAAACACUAGACCUUUUGUGUAAAUCUUUUUGAGAAAACAACUUGCUUUGAUUGAAGGAGGGAAGGCAUGCUUCCAAGGAAUGGAAGGCAUGGAAUAACUAGUUUCGAAAUUUAUAUGUUGGAUGUGGAAAUCACGGGAUGAGUGAAGGAAAGGAGGUAUUUAUUUGGAUAGAAAAUUCACUUUACAAGUUCUAAAUAAUUGAGUUUAAGAUGGUUUAAAGGAGGCUUUGGCUUUCAUCACCUGAAAGUUCUCCAUGAAACCAUUGCCUUUAAUGUGUCUGAUACCAAGAAAUAUUGAAUACACUGGCACUGAAAACGGCACACUUCCUGAGACGUUGUUGCCAUUAGUAUCACCUCUUUUUUUUUUCUUUUUGUCUUUUCUGAGGCCGCACCCGCGGCAAGUGGAAAUUCCCAGGCUAAGAGUCCAAUUGGAACUGUAGCCGCUGGCCUAUGCCACAACCACAGAAAUGCCAGAUUUGAGCCACGUCUAUGACCUACACCACAGCUCACAGCAACGCCGGAUCCUUAACCCACUGAGCAAGGCUAGGGAUCGAACCCGCAACCUCAUGGUUCCUAGUCGGAUUCGUUAACCACUGAGCCAUGACGGGAACUCCUAGUAUCACAUCUUAUGAUUAGAAAAUUUUAAAUGUUUCUUCAUUCAGAUAUUCUUCAUUCAUCAAAAUAUUUAAUGCAUGUUUAUUUCAUAUCAAGCACAGAGCAAGUAGGUGAUAAAAUCAAAGUUUGUAUCCGAUCUUCAACAUAACAAAUGCUGGAGAGGGUAUGGAGAAAAGGGAACCCUCCUACACUGUUGGGAAUGUAAAUUUGUACAACCGCUAUGGAUAAAAGUGUGGAGGUACCUCAGAAAAUUAAAUAUAGAACUACCACAUGACCCAGCAAUCCCACUCUUGGGCAUAUAUCCAGACAAAACUCUCCUUGAAAAAGAUACAUGCACCCAAAUGUUCAUUGUAGUACUAUUCACAAUAGCCAAGACAGGGAAACAACGUACAUGGACAGAUGAAUGGAUUAAGAAGAUGUGGCACAUAUAAACAAUGGAAUACUACUCAGCUAUAAAAAAGAACAAAAUAAUAUCAUUUGCAGCAACAUGGAUGGAACUAGAGAUUCUAAUAUUAAGUGAAGUCAGUAAGAAAGAGAAAUACAAAUACCCUAUGAUGUCACUUAUCUGGAAUUUAAUAUGUGGCAAAAGUGAACAGGAAAGAAACUCAUGGACUUGGAGAACAGACUUGUGGUUGCCAAGGGGAAGGGAGAGGGAGUGGGAUGGACUGGGGGUCUGGGGUUAAUAGAUGCAAACUAUUGCAUUUGGAGUAGAUAAGUAAUGAGAUCCUGCCAUAUAGCACAGGGAACUCUAUUCAGCCACUUGUGAUGGAGCAUGAUGGAUGAUAAUAUGAGAAAAAGAAUAAAUAUAUAUAUGUAUAUGUAUGUAUGACUGUG
RNAcentral lists this long non-coding RNA (2667 nucleotides) under Sus scrofa (pig). RNAcentral describes it as "lncRNA (ENSSSCG00070017163.1)". Lineage: Eukaryota; Metazoa; Chordata; Mammalia; Artiodactyla; Suidae. The record is from RNAcentral.